RNAcentral lists this ribosomal RNA (253 nucleotides) under uncultured bacterium. Its description in RNAcentral is "partial 16S ribosomal RNA". It matches the Rfam family "Bacterial small subunit ribosomal RNA", at positions 524 to 776 of the family's 1533-position model. The record is from RNAcentral.
GACGUAGGGCGCGAGCGUUGUCCGGAUUUAUUGGGCGUAAAGAGCUCGUGGGCGGUUUGUCGCGUCUGCUGGGAAAACCCGAGGCUCAACCUCGGGCCUGCAGUGGGUACGGGCAGACUAGAGUGCGGUAGGGGAGAUUGGAAUUCCUGGUGUAGCGGUGGAAUGCGUUGAUAUUCACAGGAACUCCGGUGGCGAAGGCGGCUCGCUGGAUCUUUUCUGACGCUGAGGCGCGAAAGCUAGGGGAGCAAACGGG